AAAAUGCAGGACAUCUGAUCUUAUUCCUAGCCUGAACGAAUUCUUCCACUGCCGUCGACGAGGUCUUACACAAAAGCAUCAGUUGAUAUCGGAAAAUAAUGCAUGGUCGAGAUACAAGAUGAAGGUGUUAUUAGUUACCAUCGUACUUUGUCUGGUCGUGUCAACAUUAGCCUAUCCAAACAGGGUGGCAAGAACAAGUGGAAGUGAGCUAUCAA
Long non-coding RNA from Pecten maximus, 215 nucleotides. RefSeq lists it as uncharacterized. The record is from RefSeq and is a predicted model, not a curated record. The transcript is spliced from 2 exons. NCBI's taxonomy places the organism in Eukaryota, Metazoa, Mollusca, Bivalvia, Pectinida, Pectinidae.